Molecule: ribosomal RNA, 320 nt
Filed under: uncultured bacterium
Lineage: Bacteria
Description: bacterial SSU rRNA
Rfam family: Bacterial small subunit ribosomal RNA
Source: RNAcentral
AACGAACGCUGGCGGCGCGCCUAACACAUGCAAGUCGAACGAGAAGGCGUAGCAAUACGCUUGUAGAGUGGCGAACGGGUGAGUAAUACGUGGGUGACCUACCCUCGAGUGGGGAAUAACCCGCCGAAAGGCGGGCUAAUGCCGCGUACGCUUCCGUCCUCACGGGGACGGAAGGAAAGCUGUACCGUGGGUACGGCGCUCAAGGAUGGGCUCACGUCCUAUCAGCUUGUUGGUAGGGUAACGGCCUACCAAGGCUACGACGGGUAGCUGGUCUGAGAGGACGAUCAGCCACACUGGCACUGCGACACGGGCCAGACUCC